UACGUAGGGUGCGAGCGUUAAUCGGAAUUACUGGGCGUAAAGCGUGCGCAGGCGGCGCGUUAAGACAGGUGUGAAAGCCCCGAGCUUAACUUGGGAAUUGCGCUUGUGACUGGCGAGCUGGAGUGUGGCAGAGGGAGGUGGAAUUCCACGUGUAGCAGUGAAAUGCGUAGAGAUGUGGAGGAACACCGAUGGCGAAGGCAGCCCCCUGGGCUAACACUGACGCUCAGGCACGAAAGCGUGGGGAGCAAACAGG
Molecule: ribosomal RNA, 253 nt
Filed under: uncultured bacterium
Lineage: Bacteria
Description: partial 16S ribosomal RNA
Rfam family: Bacterial small subunit ribosomal RNA
Source: RNAcentral